AUUGCACUUGAAACGCACUGCAUUGUGGGGCGAUUUCGUCAGAAGCCAAACUCACUGGAUUCUGGAUUUUGUCACAGACGUCACAGACGAUCAGGAGAGAUACACGACCAGAUACGAGCCGUGUGCCACAGCCGCUGAUGUGCAGAGAACAGUGAUGCUACCGAGCACCCCCUGCUUGAUUAUCCAAGGUGACCUGAUGAAGCCAAAGACUUGGAUGCUAUCCACUGAAGGCCAAGUGGUGAUGGGGCCAGACGC
This is a long non-coding RNA of Perca flavescens (yellow perch), 255 nucleotides long. RefSeq lists it as uncharacterized. Lineage: Eukaryota; Metazoa; Chordata; Actinopteri; Perciformes; Percidae. The transcript has 3 exons. The record is from RefSeq and is a predicted model, not a curated record.